RNAcentral lists this transfer RNA (85 nucleotides) under Felis catus (domestic cat). It matches the Rfam family "tRNA". Rfam says of the family: Transfer RNA (tRNA) molecules are approximately 80 nucleotides in length. Lineage: Eukaryota; Metazoa; Chordata; Mammalia; Carnivora; Felidae. The record is from Rfam by way of RNAcentral.
GCCUGGGUGGCUCAGUAGGUUGAGCGUCAGACUCCGGCUCACAUCAUGAUCUCACAUUUUGUGGGUUCAAGCCCCACAUCAGGCU